This 379-nucleotide ribosomal RNA is filed under the name uncultured Streptococcus sp. RNAcentral's name for it is "bacterial SSU rRNA". It matches the Rfam family "Bacterial small subunit ribosomal RNA", at positions 1000 to 1382 of the family's 1533-position model. Lineage: Bacteria; Bacillati; Bacillota; Bacilli; Lactobacillales; Streptococcaceae. The record is from RNAcentral.
CUAGAGAUAGAAAGUUACUUCGGUACAUCGGUGACAGGUGGUGCAUGGUUGUCGUCAGCUCGUGUCGUGAGAUGUUGGGUUAAGUCCCGCAACGAGCGCAACCCCUAUUGUUAGUUGCCAUCAUUCAGUUGGGCACUCUAGCGAGACUGCCGGUAAUAAACCGGAGGAAGGUGGGAUGACGUCAAAUCAUCAUGCCCCUUAUGACCUGGGCUACACACGUGCUACAAUGGUUGGUACAACGAGUUGCGAGUCGGUGACGGCGAGCUAAUCUCUUAAAGCCAAUCUCAGUUCGGAUUGUAGGCUGCAACUCGCCUACAUGAAGUCGGAAUCGCUAGUAAUCGCGGAUCAGCACGCCGCGGUGAAUACGUUCCCGGGCCUU